CAACGCUGAGCCAAUUGUGCACCGCACUAUGGGACUCCCAAUCACAGCCAGUUGUGAUACAGCCUGGAUUCGAACCAGAGUGUUUGUAGUGACGCCUCUAGCACUGUAUCAGGAAAUGAAAGCAGUAUCAGGAAAUGAUCUCCAUAACAGAUUUUUCGGCAGUUAACAACUAAACAACUAAACAUUAUUUAUAAAAGCAAUCUAUUCAUAUAUAUUUUUUCACACUGUAUUUUCUUGACAAGCAUGAUUGAUAACUGUUCUUGUAGUUUAUGGUUGACCAGCUGGUUGGCCAUUAGCCAAUCGGCGUUUCAACGAGUUCAAAGCAUGUGUGAAUGCAUCCAAAUUGCAACGAGUAAUUACCACCUUCCCAUGUGGUUAUGCUGCGUUCAUGUGCUCGUCGGAGUAUUUGAUUUCGAUAAUAUGGCUUUGUUUCAUUCAUUUGCUUUUUGGUCUGACUCUGCAAACUUGUUAGAUGCAUUUUCUGUUUGUUUUGCUUGUUUUUCAGUUUAUGUUGUGCCCAAUAGAAAUUCAUGAUAAAUAAUGUAUUUUAGGAAGGUAGAAAGAAAGUAAUUUGAACCGGUGAUUCAUAACAUUUGGAUCAGUUUGGGGUCCUGGGGACCGAUGCAUUCAAAUCUUAAAUAUUUGAACCGGGGACCAAUACCUAUCAUGAAUCGUUACAUCCCUAAUGUUUCCUACUCUCCUUGUCUGUUCCAAUCUCACUGUGUAUUUGCUUCCUUUCAGGACUAGAAGACACUGGGUAUCUCUCCUCUGAUGGCUGCCAUGAAUGGUCACGUCCCUGCGGUCAAGCUGCUGGACAUGGGCUCAGACAUCAACACUCAGAUCAAGACCAAACGUAACACAGCACAGACCCUGGCCUGCCAACGUGGAGCACUGCGUCAAGGCUGUGUCAGAUGGCUAUACUGAGAUGGGGCGUGUGCUACUGGACAAGAGCGCUUACACCUGUCCAAACCUCCCAAGACACCGUGUGCACCUUUGCUGCAGACAAGGGCCACUACGAGUUCUGUGAGCUCCUCAUCAACACGUAAUUACUGUUACAGUCUACCUUCAGUAUGAGAGUGAGUGUCAUUUCAGUCAGAAUACCAUUCCUCUCCAGUCUCAUUGCUCAGACCUGCAACUAGUCUCUGAGUGAGUUAUUAUAGUGUUAUAACCAGCAGUGUGUGUAGUUCGGCAUUUGCUUCUCGCUAAAGUCCAAACUAUUCACAUUUCCUCUCUCCUUUAGUCUGGUCCAUCUCAGAGCUGUGACCAAUCAAAUCAAUUAAAAUCAAAGUUUAUUGUGCACCGAAUACAACAGGUGUAGUAGACCUUAUAGUGAAAUGCUUACUUACAACCCUCAUAUCCCGGGCAUAACAUGUGACUUCAAUCUGAGUGAAUAUGUAUUCUGUUGUAGAUGGUGCUCUGCUCCCUACCCUGUGAUUUGUUGUAUGAAUUGCUGUGAUUUGAGGCUGUAGUUUAUGUUUAAUUUUUAUUGUAUUUGUGUGUAUAAGGGGACACUGCUGUGGUGGCUGUGUGGCUCAGGGCUAUGUUCCCUACUCCCUACAAAGCAUUUUGUUGUAUAAAUUGUAAUAAUAUAAUUUCUUCUUGUUUUUCUUGUUUUGUUUUUUGGUAUAAAAUAUAAUUCUGAGCAAUGA
Molecule: long non-coding RNA, 1649 nt
Organism: Oncorhynchus gorbuscha (pink salmon)
Lineage: Eukaryota; Metazoa; Chordata; Actinopteri; Salmoniformes; Salmonidae
Exons: 2
Source: RefSeq, a predicted model, not a curated record